AGAGUUUGAUCCUGGCUCAGGAUGAACGCUGGCGGCGUGCCUAAUACAUGCAAGUCGAGCGAACCACUUCGGUGGUGAGCGGCGAACGGGUGAGUAACGCGUAGGUGAUCUGUCCAUCAGACGGGGACAACGAUUGGAAACGAUCGCUAAUACCGGAUAGGACGAAAGUUUAAAGGUGCUCCUGGCACCGCUGAUGGAUGAGCCUGCGGCGCAUUAGCUAGUUGGUAGGGUAAAGGCCUACCAAGGCGACGAUGCGUAGCCGACCUGAGAGGGUGAACGGCCACACUGGGACUGAGACACGGCCCAGACUCCUACGGGAGGCAGCAGUAGGGAAUCUUUGGCAAUGGGCGAAAGCCUGACCGAGCAACGCCGCGUGAAUGAUGAAGGCCUUCGGGUUGUAAAAUUCUGUUAUAAGGGAAGAACGACUUUAGUAGGAAAUGGCUAAAGUGUGACGGUACCUUAUGAGAAAGCCACGGCUAACUACGUGCCAGCAGCCGCGGUAAUACGUAGGUGGCAAGCGUUAUCCGGAAUUAUUGGGCGUAAAGAGCGCGCAGGUGGUUGAUUAAGUCUGAUGUGAAAGCCCACGGCUUAACCGUGGAGGGUCAUUGGAAACUGGUCGACUUGAGUGCAGAAGAGGGAAGUGGAAUUCCAUGUGUAGCGGUGAAAUGCGUAGAGAUAUGGAGGAACACCAGUGGCGAAG
RNAcentral lists this ribosomal RNA (700 nucleotides) under uncultured bacterium. RNAcentral describes it as "bacterial SSU rRNA". It matches the Rfam family "Bacterial small subunit ribosomal RNA", at positions 8 to 720 of the family's 1533-position model. The record is from RNAcentral.